GAUGAACGCUGGCGGCGUGCCUAAUACAUGCAAGUCGAGCGAACAGACGAGGAGCUUGCUCCUCUGACGUUAGCGGCGGACGGGUGAGUAACACGUGGAUAACCUACCUAUAAGACUGGGAUAACUUCGGGAAACCGGAGCUAAUACAGGAUAACAUGUUGAACCGCAUGGUUCAACAGUGAAAGACGGUCUUGCUGUCACUUAUAGAUGGAUCCGCGCCGCAUUAGCUAGUUGGUAAGGUAACGGCUUACCAAGGCAACGAUGCGUAGCCGACCUGAGAGGGUGAUCGGCCACACUGGAACUGAGACACGGUCCAGACUCCUACGGGAGGCAGCAGUAGGGAAUCUUCCGCAAUGGGCGAAAUCCUGACGGAGCAACGCCGCGUGAGUGAAGAAGGUCUUCGGAUCGUAAAACUCUGUUAUUAGGGAAGAACAAAUGUGUAAGUAACUAUGCACGUCUUGACGGUACCUAAUCAGAAAGCCACGGCUAACUACGU
This 496-nucleotide ribosomal RNA is filed under the name uncultured bacterium. Its description in RNAcentral is "partial 16S ribosomal RNA". It matches the Rfam family "Bacterial small subunit ribosomal RNA", at positions 28 to 506 of the family's 1533-position model. The record is from RNAcentral.